RNAcentral lists this ribosomal RNA (492 nucleotides) under uncultured bacterium. RNAcentral's name for it is "partial 16S ribosomal RNA". It matches the Rfam family "Bacterial small subunit ribosomal RNA", at positions 29 to 507 of the family's 1533-position model. The record is from RNAcentral.
AGUGAACGCUGGCGGUAGGCCUAACACAUGCAAGUCGAACGGCAGCACAGUAAGAGCUUGCUCUUACGGGUGGCGAGUGGCGGACGGGUGAGGAAUACAUCGGAAUCUACUUUUUCGUGGGGGAUAACGUAGGGAAACUUACGCUAAUACCGCAUACGACCUACGGGUGAAAGCAGGGGAUCUUCGGACCUUGCGCGAUUGAAUGAGCCGAUGUCGGAUUAGCUAGUUGGCGGGGUAAAGGCCCACCAAGGCGACGAUCCGUAGCUGGUCUGAGAGGAUGAUCAGCCACACUGGAACUGAGCCACGGUCCAGACUCCUACGGGAGGCAGCAGUGGGGAAUAUUGGACAAUGGGCGCAUGCCUGAUCCAGCCAUACCGCGUGGGUGAAGAAGGCCUUCGGGUUGUAAAGCCCUUUUGUUGGGAAAGAAAAGCAGCAGGUUAAUACCCCGCUGUUCUGACGGUACCCAAAGAAUAAGCACCGGCUAACUUCGUG